This 1020-nucleotide ribosomal RNA is filed under the name Massilia sp. 4_18. RNAcentral's name for it is "bacterial SSU rRNA". It matches the Rfam family "Bacterial small subunit ribosomal RNA", at positions 77 to 1092 of the family's 1533-position model. Lineage: Bacteria; Pseudomonadati; Pseudomonadota; Betaproteobacteria; Burkholderiales; Oxalobacteraceae. The record is from RNAcentral.
GUCACGCCCUGGUGGCGAGUGGCGAACGGGUGAGUAAUAUAUCGGAACGUACCCAAGAGUGGGGGAUAACGUAGCGAAAGUUACGCUAAUACCGCAUACGAUCUAAGGAUGAAAGCAGGGGACCGCAAGGCCUUGUGCUCCUGGAGCGGCCGAUAUCUGAUUAGCUAGUUGGUGAGGUAAAGGCUCACCAAGGCGACGAUCAGUAGCUGGUCUGAGAGGACGACCAGCCACACUGGAACUGAGACACGGUCCAGACUCCUACGGGAGGCAGCAGUGGGGAAUUUUGGACAAUGGGCGCAAGCCUGAUCCAGCAAUGCCGCGUGAGUGAAGAAGGCCUUCGGGUUGUAAAGCUCUUUUGUCAGGGAAGAAACGGUAGGGGCUAAUAUCCCCUGCUAAUGACGGUACCUGAAGAAUAAGCACCGGCUAACUACGUGCCAGCAGCCGCGGUAAUACGUAGGGUGCAAGCGUUAAUCGGAAUUACUGGGCGUAAAGCGUGCGCAGGCGGUUUUGUAAGUCUGUCGUGAAAGCCCCGGGCUCAACCUGGGAAUUGCGAUGGAGACUGCAAGGCUUGAAUCUGGCAGAGGGGGGUAGAAUUCCACGUGUAGCAGUGAAAUGCGUAGAGAUGUGGAGGAACACCGAUGGCGAAGGCAGCCCCCUGGGUCAAGAUUGACGCUCAUGCACGAAAGCGUGGGGAGCAAACAGGAUUAGAUACCCUGGUAGUCCACGCCCUAAACGAUGUCUACUAGUUGUCGGGUUUUAAUUAACUUGGUAACGCAGCUAACGCGUGAAGUAGACCGCCUGGGGAGUACGGUCGCAAGAUUAAAACUCAAAGGAAUUGACGGGGACCCGCACAAGCGGUGGAUGAUGUGGAUUAAUUCGAUGCAACGCGAAAAACCUUACCUACCCUUGACAUGUCAGGAAGGCCGGAGAGAUCUGGCUGUGCCCGAAAGGGAACCUGAACACAGGUGCUGCAUGGCUGUCGUCAGCUCGUGUCGUGAGAUGUUGGGUUAAGUCCCGGAA